UACAGAGGGUGCAAGCGUUAAUCGGAAUUACUGGGCGUAAAGCGCGCGUAGGUGGUUCGUUAAGUUUGAUGUGAAAUCCCCGGGCUCAACCUGGGAACUGCAUCCAAAACUGGCGAGCUAGAGUAUGGUAGAGGGUGGUGGAAUUUCCUGUGUAGCGGUGAAAUGCGUAGAUAUAGGAAGGAACACCAGUGGCGAAGGCGACCACCUGGACUGAUACUGACACUGAGGUGCGAAAGCGUGGGGAGCAAACAGG
RNAcentral lists this ribosomal RNA (253 nucleotides) under uncultured bacterium. RNAcentral describes it as "partial 16S ribosomal RNA". It matches the Rfam family "Bacterial small subunit ribosomal RNA", at positions 524 to 776 of the family's 1533-position model. The record is from RNAcentral.